GUGGGGAAUCUUAGACAAUGGGGGAAACCCUGAUCUAGCCAUGCCGCGUGAGCGAUGAAGGCCUUAGGGUUGUAAAGCUCUUUCAGCUGGGAAGAUAAUGACGGUACCAGCAGAAGAAGCCCCGGCUAACUCCGUGCCAGCAGCCGCGGUAAUACGGAGGGGACUAGCGUUGUUCGGAAUUACUGGGCGUAAAGCGCGCGUAGGCGGACCAGAAAGUUGGAGGUGAAAUCCCAGGGCUCAACCUUGGAACUGCCUUCAAAACUCCUGGUCUGGAGUUCGAGAGAGGUGAGUGGAAUUCCGAGUGUAGAGGUGAAAUUCGUAGAUAUUCGGAGGAACACCAGUGGCGAAGGCGGCUCACUGGCUCGAUACUGACGCUGAGGUGCGAAAGCGUGGGGAGCAAACAGGAUUAGAAACCCCAGUAGUCC
This 425-nucleotide ribosomal RNA is filed under the name uncultured bacterium. RNAcentral describes it as "partial 16S ribosomal RNA". It matches the Rfam family "Bacterial small subunit ribosomal RNA", at positions 354 to 796 of the family's 1533-position model. The record is from RNAcentral.